GACGUAGGAUGCAAGCGUUGUCCGGAUUUAUUGGGCGUAAAGAGUUCGUAGGUGGUUUGGUAAGUCUGAUGUUAAAUACUGGGGCUCAACCCCGGAACUGCAUUGGAAACUACCAGACUGGAGUGCAGUAGAGGCGAGUGGAAUUCCCAGUGUAGCGGUGAAAUGCGUAGAUAUUGGGAAGAACACCAGUGGCGUAAGCGACUCGCUGGGCUGUAACUGACGCUGAGGAACGAAAGCCAGGGGAGCGAAUGGG
RNAcentral lists this ribosomal RNA (253 nucleotides) under uncultured bacterium. Its description in RNAcentral is "partial 16S ribosomal RNA". It matches the Rfam family "Bacterial small subunit ribosomal RNA", at positions 524 to 776 of the family's 1533-position model. The record is from RNAcentral.